Molecule: long non-coding RNA, 506 nt
Filed under: Mytilus galloprovincialis (Mediterranean mussel)
Lineage: Eukaryota; Metazoa; Mollusca; Bivalvia; Mytilida; Mytilidae
Source: RNAcentral
GCCCGUCGACCUGGAACUUAUCAAUUAUUGUUAAUAUUAAUUAUUUGGAAAACAAAAGGUCCUGGCUAUCCAGGAAUGGAGUAUUUUUUAAUCAACAGCAUUGUCCUAUAUUAGUUAUCUUAGAAAGUCUUGCUGAUUGCUGAAUAAAACUACAAUAGGGAACAAUUUGACAAUGAUUGAAUUUAGUAGUGUCAGCCCUUUGAUUAUGACCCGUGUAUAUAGCAAAAUCCUAAAUACACCGUUUGGUGGUGCGCCUGUAAAAUGCGGAACGUACAGAUAAGGUAAUAGGUAACAGGUGAAUAUACUAUUGGUAUCGGUAUCGGAUUCAACCCGGAACUUGUUAAUUAUUGGCAAUAUUAAUUAUGUGGAAAACAAAAGGGUCUGGAGUGGUGUAAUUUUUAAUCUACACUAUUGUCCUAUAUUAGCUAUAUAUAGAGUUGAAUUCUUUGAUUUGUCGUUUUUACCCGAUGACGGCUGACAAAUUUGACCUCGUUAUUUUAGUAUUA